GAUGAAAACGUAGCGAAAUGCGAUAAGUAAUGCGAAUUGCAGAAUUUCCGUGAGUCAUCGAAUCUUUGAACGCACAUUGCGCCCACUGGUAUUCCGGUGGGCAUGCCUGUUCGAGCGUCAUUAUCCUCCCUCAAACCCCGGGUUUGGUGUUGGACCCAAGUUGUGUGAACAACUGGUCUCAAAGACAAUGACGGCGUCCGUGGGACCCUCGGUGCAACGAGCUUUUAGGAGCACGCAUCGAGUUGCAAGGACCUUCCGGGCCGGUCUCCUUUACCAUUUUACAAGGUUGACCUCGGAUCAGGUAGGAAUACCCGCUGAACUUAAGCAUAUCAAUAAGCGGAGGA
RNAcentral lists this unclassified non-coding RNA (344 nucleotides) under soil metagenome. Its description in RNAcentral is "partial contains 5.8S ribosomal RNA, internal transcribed spacer 2, and large subunit ribosomal RNA". The stretch from base 1 to 120 matches the Rfam family "5.8S ribosomal RNA", at positions 35 to 154 of the family's 154-position model. The record is from RNAcentral.